AGUGAACGCUGGCGGUAGGCCUAACACAUGCAAGUCGAACGGCAGCACAGUAAGAUCUUGCUCUUACGGGUGGCGAGUGGCGGACGGGUGAGGAAUACAUCGGAAUCUACUUUUUCGUGGGGGAUAACGUAGGGAAACUUACGCUAAUACCGCAUACGACCUACGGGUGAAAGCAGGGGAUCUUCGUACCUUGCGCGAUUGAAUGAGCCGAUUUCGGAUUAGCUAGUUGGCGGGGUAAAGGCCCACCAAGGGGACGAUCCGUAGCUGGUCUGAGAGGAUGGUCAGCCACACUGGAACUGAGACACGGUCCAGACUCCUACGGGAGGCAGCAGUGGGGAAUAUUGGACAAUGGGCGCAAGCCUGAUCCAGCCAUACCGCGUGGGUGAAGAAGGCCUUCGGGUUGUAAAGCCCUUUUGUUGGGAAAGAAAAGCAGCAGGUUAAUACCCCGCUGUUCUGACGGUACCCAAAGAAUAAGCACCGGCUAACUUCGUG
RNAcentral lists this ribosomal RNA (492 nucleotides) under uncultured bacterium. RNAcentral describes it as "partial 16S ribosomal RNA". It matches the Rfam family "Bacterial small subunit ribosomal RNA", at positions 29 to 507 of the family's 1533-position model. The record is from RNAcentral.